ACGGGAAAGCAGGCUCGACUUCGCAGCUCAAGUCGCUUCGUCUGUCACAUCUUCUGUCGAGCUCUGUGCCAAGCUCUAGCAUUCGCUAAUAUUCUAUUUUAGCAUGGCAUAGCAUAGCAUCACGUGUUUGUGGGCGUGUGCGGAUCACCAUCAUCGCCAUGACGCGGUGGAACCAGAGGAUGGCCAAGAUGGCCUUCCGGCGCUCCAAAUUCCGUCGCUUAGCCUGGGGGGACGGUGACCCGUACCCCUACACCCCGCGCGCCACCUUCCGCUAUCAGUGGGACGACUGGCCAAUGUGGGAGAAGAUGUGGCACCUCGCUGUCGGUGUGCUGGGCAUCGAGUUCGCUGUGUGGGCCUACUACUCGAAGUUGAACAGCCGCAUGGACUGGGCACGCGAGGAGGCGCUGCGCCGCAUGCGUCUGCGCCGUGAGGCCCAAGAGCUGAUGAUCCUCGAGGGCGAGACCUUCUCGAGCGACAUCCAGCCGGACCGCCGCUGACGCUGCCCACCCCGCGCGCGUCUCGGGGGAGGGGGAUCGCAGCUGUGGGCUUUUUUCCUGAUGCCUGCUUGAUGUGCCUCCCCGCAUAUAGUUAUCCUCUACGACCUGGCAGAAGGCUGUUGACAUCUCUGCGGAUGUUGCACGUACGCCUCCGCGGAUAUCCGCAGCAAGAGACCGGCUGCUCUUUUGUUUUUAAUUUUGGAGGAAGGGGUGUUGUGACGCUGUCGCGCACACCUGUCGACCCCGCGCACCUGCGGCCGCAUGCACUACGUAUGGACAUGUUCUUGCGAACAAGUGGCGCCCGUGGAAUGACCAAGGCAUCCGCCUUGGCGAUUUUAUGGGCUUGCAUGGCGCGCGCGCGAGUGUGCCACGGCUGGAAUCGCCGUUGCUGCCCUGACUAUCACACCUUUCCCUUCGCUCUCUAUCCUUUGUUUGUACCUUCGAAG
This 943-nucleotide unclassified non-coding RNA is filed under the name Leishmania donovani. RNAcentral's name for it is "gene:LdHU3.34.6500(CDS-product:NADH-ubiquinone_ox idoreductase_complex_I_subunit_putative)". The record is from RNAcentral. Lineage: Eukaryota; Euglenozoa; Kinetoplastea; Trypanosomatida; Trypanosomatidae.